GGACCACCUUCGUCGCUGCUGUUCCCGUUGUUCCCCUGCUCUGCGGAUCUGGCGCUGCGGGAGGCGAGGAUGCUCCGAGGGAGCCAGCCACAGCCAGCGGAGGCUCAAGCCCCCUGCAGAGGCCAGGCUGCAGCCCUGGCGAUGGGGACGGCGGCCACGCGGUGCCCGAGCCGGUGCUGAGCCCAGCGGUUGUUGCUAAACAACCAACCCUGACUCUGGAGAUGUCAGCCAGCAAGGAACAGAGAUUAAACACUCCUGCUAGCACAUCCUGAAACUUGGGUAAGCCUCAGAAUGAUGACAGGCUAUGGAAUAAUGGUCCCUGUUGUAUGAGAAAGCAAAGUUACCACUCCACUGCAUAAUCGGGAGGCUUCCUCGGCCAGAAGGACCAAGCUCAAGGCUGGCUGUGUCCUCAGCACUUCCCGGCAGAGCUGCCAUCUUCAUUGCUGGUCACUUUAAGAAGAGAGGUGAAAAAAUAGUAUAGUGAAUGGUUAAGAGGGAAAAGUGUUCUCCACUUCCCCAUCCUCUCUCUGGAGCUGAUCUCUGCCCUCAGUCUCCCGUUUAUCCUUAACCAGUCCUUCCCAAUCCUUCUGUCCGUGCUUUCUAAUGCUGUUUCUCCUUUGGAAACCUUUACAGACCCAUCACCGAGGGCAGUCUCCAUCUCUCUGUGAGGUUACAGAGCCCGUGGCAAACUCACACUUGUGCCAACAAAAGCUGAGUUUGGGUAAGAGUCGUUUUCAUUUCUUUAACUAUUCCCACGACACGAUUUCCAGGUGCGGUCCCUGCCCCAAGCAACUCACAGUGCUGCCAACACUCCAGCACCUCACAGGGGAGGAGGAAGCGAGGAGAAAAGCCCCGAAGGCCGGUUCUGUCCCCCGCACCGAGAGCUGCAGCUCUGACACGUCAUCGUCACGACCGGACAGCGGAACGAGACCGAGCGCCCGUGGGCCAGGGGCUGCACCCAGCACAGGCAGCAGGGACCAGCUCAGACCCCCUGAGAGCACCCAUGGGCCAGGGGCUGCACCCAGCACAGGCAGCAGGGACCAGCUCCUGUCCUGCCCGAGGGACAUCCCGGGAUCCCAGCUGGCGUGGAAGCGUCUGGAAGGCACCCGUCCUACCUGUCCCCAGUGCUUUUAA
RNAcentral lists this long non-coding RNA (1134 nucleotides) under Cyanistes caeruleus (blue tit). Its description in RNAcentral is "lncRNA (ENSCCEG00000000265.1)". The record is from RNAcentral. Lineage: Eukaryota; Metazoa; Chordata; Aves; Passeriformes; Paridae.